AUUGAACGCUGGCGGAAUGCUUUACACAUGUAAGUCGAACGGCAGCACGGGGGCAACCCUGGUGGCGAGUGGCGAACGGGUGAGUAAUACAUCGGAACGUGCCCGGUCGUGGGGGAUAACGUAGCGAAAGUUACGCUAAUACCGCAUACGAUCUGAGGAUGAAAGCGGGGGACCUUCGGGCCUCGCGCGAUCGGAGCGGCCGAUGUCAGAUUAGGUAGUUGGUGGGGUAAAGGCCUACCAAGCCGACGAUCUGUAGCUGGUCUGAGAGGACGACCAGCCACACUGGGACUGAGACACGGCCCAGACUCCUACGGGAGGCAGCAGUGGGGAAUUUUGGACAAUGGGCGCAAGCCUGAUCCAGCCAUUCCGCGUGCAGGACGAAGGCCUUCGGGUUGUAAACUGCUUUUGUAUGGAACGAAAAGGCUCUGGCUAAUACCUGGGGCUCAUGACGGUACCGUAAGAAUAAGCACCGGCUAACUACGUG
RNAcentral lists this ribosomal RNA (484 nucleotides) under uncultured bacterium. RNAcentral describes it as "partial 16S ribosomal RNA". It matches the Rfam family "Bacterial small subunit ribosomal RNA", at positions 30 to 507 of the family's 1533-position model. The record is from RNAcentral.